GGAAUAGCUCAGUCGGUAGAGCACUGGUCUCCAAAACCAGGUGUCGGGAGUUCGAGUCUCUCUUCC
Molecule: transfer RNA, 66 nt
Filed under: human gut metagenome
Also listed under: 2 other names
Rfam family: tRNA
About the family: Transfer RNA (tRNA) molecules are approximately 80 nucleotides in length.
Source: RNAcentral